UAACAAGGUCUCCGUAGGUGAACCUGCGGAGGGAUCAUUACCAAGUACAACCCGUCUCCGGACGGGCUGCUACCAACCCUUUGUUGUCCGACCGCGUUGCCUCCGGGGCGACCCUGACCUUCGGGUUUUGGGGGACCCCGGGUGGACACCUAAACUCUGCGUAACUUUGCAGUCUGAGUAAAAAGAUUAAAUCAAUCAAAACUUUCAACAACGGAUCUCUUGGUUCUGGCAUCGAUGAAGAACGCAGCGAAAUGCGAUAAGUAAUGUGAAUUGCAGAAUUCAGUGAAUCAUCGAAUCUUUGAACGCACAUUGCGCCCCGUGGUAUUCCGCGGGGCAUGCCUGUUCGAGCGUCAUUUCACCACUCAAGCCUCGCUUGGUAUUGGGCGACGCGGUCCGCCGCGCGCCUCAAAUCGACCGGCUGGGUCGAUCGCACCCUCAGCGUUGUGGAAACUAUUCGCUAAAGGAGUUGUGGUCGGUCACGCCGUGAAACAAACCAUCUUUCAAUGGUUGACUCGGA
RNAcentral lists this ribosomal RNA (517 nucleotides) under Toxicocladosporium irritans. RNAcentral describes it as "eukaryotic LSU rRNA". The stretch from base 200 to 353 matches the Rfam family "5.8S ribosomal RNA". Lineage: Eukaryota; Fungi; Ascomycota; Dothideomycetes; Cladosporiales; Cladosporiaceae. The record is from RNAcentral.